This 52-nucleotide transfer RNA is filed under the name Rotaria rotatoria. RNAcentral describes it as "tRNA-Lys". The record is from RNAcentral. Lineage: Eukaryota; Metazoa; Rotifera; Eurotatoria; Philodinida; Philodinidae.
ACUGAAAAAGCUUAUUUAAGUUUUAGCCUUUUAAGUUAAAGAAUUUUCAAUA